This 6579-nucleotide long non-coding RNA is filed under the name Nicotiana benthamiana. RNAcentral describes it as "long non-coding RNA (NBEN_LNC034507)". Lineage: Eukaryota; Viridiplantae; Streptophyta; Magnoliopsida; Solanales; Solanaceae. The record is from RNAcentral.
AAAUUGCCAUGGCCUAAAAAUAUUCGUGGGUUGUCGUGGCCUAAAAAAUUUCAAUGUUCCGCCAAAAUAGAAGAGCCAAAAUAUUUCGCGUAAAAUAAAUUUUUCUGGACUUUUAGCCCAAUCUCUAGUAACCAUUCUUGAUAGGUUUUUUCUUAUUAGUUCUACUUGAAAGAGCCAUUCGUCUGCAGCCUCCUUGUUUUGUCCUGUUGCUGCUGAUUGGAGAAGAACCGGUAAGAACUCUCUCUUCAAUUUCUUUACUGAUUGCUUCUCCAUUAAAUUAUUGAAUUAUCAAUUUUUGUGGUUGUAAGUACUUAAUUGGGUAUGAGUAUCUUAAUUUCUUCUAUGUUAGAUUAGGAUUUGAACUAUUUCUUCUCUAAUUUCUUAUGCUUCAAAAGCAAUUAUGCAUAAUUUUUUCUUUUAUUAUUGUUCAGUUUCUUGUUCUUUUUUUAAUCAUCGUAAACGAAGCUCUUCUGGUGCUGGUGGGGGCUGUGGUACGUAGGGGUAGUUCAAGUUGGGGUGGGAAGAGCGUGACUAUGACAUCCUACCAAGUUCCACCUUUAGCAAUUAUUGAUCCCUCUAGAUUUGCGGUUGAAUUAGCCUAUUCCCCUGUUGUUUCAAUGGCUACUGCAAUUGUUACUGCUACUGGUGGCAGUGGUGAUUAUAUGACAGGCAGUGAUGGUUGUACUGCUGAAAAUUGGAAUUGAAUGUUGCUGUUGUUUUUCAGUGGCUUUGGAUUGCCUCGAUUUUAUAUUUGACUCAUGCUGACCUUGUUGUACAUCCUCCAAAUAUCUUCCAGAACUUGUUCAUUCAUCAAAGCCUCAUACGAGUUAGAAACAGUAAUAUUUUAUGCUGUAGUGGACUGAGUUUUGUGAAUUGAAACAUUGUUCUUGCUAGGUGAGGACUGUGUUCGAUUUACUACUUCCCAGUCUAUUAUUUUUGAUUGAUUUCGAUAUUUGAAGAUAUGUUGUUGAACUUGAUGCAUUUUCAAUUAAAUCAGCAUAUUCAACAGUAGGAUUCACAUCCCCACAGCAGCUCAAUUUGUCUUCAAUGUAACUGCAACCCAUUAAUUUGAACAUAUAGUAGAUCCCGUUCUUCUUUAACAAGAUCUCCCUUGUCAAUUUCAUGUCCUUCCCUGUUAGCAUCGGUAGCUUUAGAAGAUAAUUUAAUAACUUGUUGAUCCUUAUCUUUUUCUUGGUCAUUAGACGUUUGCUUAACACCUGGAAUAUCUGAUCCAAUAUCAAUAACAACAUCUAGACAAUCUGGUUGUACAGCUAAUUCAACUUUGACAUAUGUAUGAAACUCUUUGUUAUCACCUGUACCAGUCACAUUACGAAAAGUAUCAAAUCUUUUAAUUUGUAGCAUAUCAACAUGCUUAGCAGUAUCCUUCACAGUUGUUGCAUUAUGCAUUACUGGACCAUCAACAUUUAUAAGAGCUCUAAGUGCAGAAAAUAAAUCAAGAUAUGGAAUAAUGCACCAGAUUCACUGAAGUUGUAAAAUAGGUUAAAGUUGACAUAUGAACUGCAUCUCAGAUUAUAGAAGUAUCAGGGCCAAGAGAUAGAGGUCACACAGAAAUGUAGGGAAGAAAUAUGCAUGGUUGUGUGUGACCAGGAUUAUAUAAUGAUUUAUAUAAUUUCUUUUUUGGCUGUGGAAAAAGAAAAAAGGACAAAAUGAUAACCAUACCAAAUAGUUUGAAAUAAGCAUAAAAUCAAGAGUGCUUUCAGGUAUGACGCACUUUACCUUUGCAUAUAAUCUAGAUUGUGGAUGAUUUUUCUUUCUCCUAGUCGUGCAUUAGUAAUCUGAUAUUUCCAAUCAUGUUUUUCUGCGAGUGCUUUUGAGGUUGAUGUUGUGUUUCCACAAGCUCUUUUUAGGUUGAUGGUUCCUGUUAAUAAGCUUCCACUAGUUUCAUUUGCACUUUUGUACUUUAUUGCUUCUUUUUAUCAAAAUGUUAUUAUAUUUAUUUUAUUUUUAGGAUGAGCAUGCGUAAUUAAACAAUCCUCACAUCCGGUUCAUCAAAUGCCCAAGUUGUUGGAAGAAGAUUUAUUAUUUGGGUUACUAUUAGAAUAGUACUUAAGGACCUUGGAAGAUUUAUUUUUUGAGUUACUAUUAGAAUAGAACUUAAGGACCUUGGAUAUAUGAUGUUUUUACUCGUUUUGUAAGUAAAAAUAUACUUUUAGGAUUAUUUAGUUUUUGGAAUAUAGUAUAUCUACUUCAUAAAUUUUCAGUGUAGAAAGUUUAUUUAUAUCUAUUUGAAAUAAAAUUAUAAUUGCUACUUGUAUUUGGGAAAAUUUAAAGAAUAUAUGAAUUGUGUAUUAAGUAACAACAUAUAAAUUGUUGCCAAAGUAGUACUAGAGAAUCUGUUGGCAAAAUGUUAUUAUUGCCACAAUAACAGUUGUUUCUAAAAGUAUUGAUAACAGAUUAUUAACUUUACCGCCAAUUUGUUUUUAGCAACAUUGAUAUUGCUGGCAAAAAACUAAUGUUGUCGCAACAAUAAUUUUUUAUUGCUGCAUGUCUUCAUAAUCCACGACUUCAUUGACCUUUUGCCAACAAAAUAUAACUAAUGGCAACGAUAGAUAUUGUUGUAAUAAGUUACUUUUGGCUAUAAUAUUCUCUGUUGUUGCAUAUUCGCAUCGGUGUUUAUUGCAACGGAGUGCAACGACUUGUUUAUCGUUGCCAAAAACAUUUUUGCCAACAACAUUGAAUAUAUGGCAACAAAAAUGUUGUUGUGAAAGGUCUUCAUUCUUGUAGUGGUGUGUAGUCAACCACAUCUAUAAGUUGGAGGCUACUUGGGCUUUUAGGAAUAGCACCCUUCUUUGAUAUUCUGGAUCGUGCGACAACUUGUUAUGAAAUUAAUCCCUCUCUAAUUAGUGCAUUCUUCUAUCUUUCAGUAAAUGGCACCUAAGAAGAAUGUGAGAAUUGGCCAAGAAGCCAAUGCCACCUCAGGAGUGGCUGAUGACUCACUGUUCGAUACUGAGGGUAAGGGUAGCCUCCCUGCUAUCGCCCUGCCUGAUUCUUCUAUUCCAGAGCAGACUACCCUUGUUCAUACACCUGCGGAGAGCACCACUCUCGCUCCCAUUGAUACUUUUGUUAUGCCUCUAGCCCCAGCUUUCGGUUCUAGUAUUUCUGAUGGAAAUCAUAGGGGGCUAUUCAGAUGUUGACUUAGCUAGUGGCCUCUCAGGCUCAGAGGUCAAAUGUUGCAUCCAAUUCAUCUAUCCAGCAAGGGGAUUCUACUAGUUCCAGGGUGAACAGAUUUCUUUACUGAGACCCUCCAGUACUUACGAGUGCCAAUCCAUAAGAAGAUCCUUAGAAUUUUAUUUAUGAGAUGAACAAGACCCUCAAGGUUAUGCAACUAAGAUAGAGGUAGUAGAGUUUGCUACCUACCGUCUGAAAGGGGUGGCUUAUUUGUGGUUUGAGUUAUGGGAAGAUUUCUGCAAAGGAGGGGAGCCCUCCGGCAACAUGGAGAGAGUUUGUCGAUGUCUUUAUAGAUUAUUUCCUACCUGAUGAGGCAAGGGCAACCCAUGCAGGAGAGUUUGAAAAUCUGUGGUAGCAUGAGUAUGUGGGGGUAUCACAUGGAGUUUGCUAGCCCAUCUAAGUAUGCCAUACAUAUGUUGCCCACAAUGGAGGCUAGGGUGUGUCGGUUUAUUCAGGGCCUAAAUCAUUUGACUAUCAAUGAGGCUUCUACGGCUACAUUGAAUUCUGACAUGAAUUAUAGAAAGAUGGUAGCAUUUUCUCGAUCCACAGAGAAUCGUAAACUGAAGAACAGGAUAAAAAGCGAGAGAGGGUAGUAGAAAUACCCGAUCUAUGGGGGACAUGGCUGAGUCACUUUGUGGGGGAACAUUGGCUUUUAGGUGAGGAUCCUUCGGGCCAUCCCAAUCUGUUGCACAAUAUUUAGCUAGUGCACUACCAUUAAGGCCCAACCAGCAACAAUGGAGUCUUUUCAGGCCUGGUCAGGGAAACAUGGGAUCCCACCAGAGGGGUCGAUCAGGAAAGAGGUCCCAACAGCAGCAAAGGUCGCCGUGCCCCAGGUGUGUGAAGUUGCACUCAGAGAUUUUCUAUUUGGAGUUACCUAUAUGCUAUGGAUGUGGGAUGAGGGGUCAUAUUCAGAGGCAUUGUCGUACAUCCCGACAGGGAGUGGGUAGGGGCACAGCUCAAUCAUCCAGUCUAGCAGCUGCUACAUCUUCAGCCCCCUCUCCAUCUUGUGGUACCCUAGUAGAAACCAAGGCUGGGGCAUGUCUAGCCAAACUGGUGUAACAUACAGCAUAAUCUGAGACGGUCACAACACCAUGACGAAAAUGGUCAAACUCUACACGCCAUGCAUCUCUGAGGCUCUAAGGAACAAACUCUCUGAGGAACAUAUAUGAAAACUGGGUCCAAGUCAGUGAAGCUACCUCGUCUAGGUUGUCUAACUCAAAGGUGCGCCACUAAUCAUAGGCGGCUCCUCGAAGUUGGAAAGUAGUGAAAGAAACCUCGCUCGAUCCAGAGAUACCCAUAGUAUGAAGAAUGCAGCAACACUCAUUAAGAAACCCCAAGGCAUCGUCCGAUGCUAAUCUACUGAAUAUUGGAGGAUCAUACUUCUUGAACCUCUCUAGUCUCAUAUGCUCCUGCUCGGAAGCCGCUGUCAUGCCCACGGGCUGGUGCUACAACCUGCACAGGAAUAAUCUCAGGGACUUGCUCAACAUGUGUUGUCUUCUCAGAAGUGCGAAUGGCAAGAGUCUUUGCUCCUCCCCCGGCCUGGGAUGUGGUUGCAGCAAGGGGAAGCAAUCCUGCCUAAGCCAAAGUGGUGUACAUACUCAUGAACUGUGCCAAAGUCUCCUAAAGGGCUGGAGUAGUAGUAGCAGUAGGCGUGUCAGGUGCUUGGACUCUGGCUGGAUCUACUGUUGGUACCUCCACGGCUACUCGUGCAGGUGCUCUCACUGCACCACGUGCGCGACCUCGAACUCUACCCCGAUCUCCAGCGGCUACAGCAAGGGGCUCGGGUGCCUGAUCACCUCGGGUAGUACGUGUCCUCAACAUCUGUAAGAUAGUAGAAGAUAUAGGUUUAGGAUUGUAAAGGCCAAAAAUCUUACACGACUGGGAAAUCAAAUGAAGUGGAAUUUUCCUAAUGGUUACAUAGCCUCUCGGAGAUAAGUACAGACGUCCCCAUACUGAUCCAAGAGAAUCUAAUAACCAACUUGUGAUAUGUGACUCCUAUGAACCUAGAGUUCUGAUACAAACUUGUCACGAUCCCAGUUCGCCCUCCGUGACAUGUCGUGACGACACCUAGUCCCUACGAAUACGUAAGCCUAACAAAGCGGAAGAUAAACCCUAACUAUGGAGGAAUAAUUAAAACUUAUUCAGUAAAAUAAAAUAUGUAUUUAAGGUGCCGCUCGGCACAUACAAUAACAACUUUGGAAGAUAAAAUCUCACAAAUCACAAGUUAAGGGAUAUAUUAGAGGCUCUGACUCAAGAAUAUUACACAUUGGAGAAAUACUGAAAGAAACUAUACUUAUUACAGAAAGCUGGAAAAGGACUCCUCGGCCUGCGGGCGUAGCAGAUAUACCUCGAAGUCUCUACCGGUACGCCUCCUUCCAAGGUUGAAGGAACUAAAGGGGAGUACCUGUAUCUACACAACAAUAAUGUGCAUAAGAUAGCAUGAGAAUAUCACGGCGGUGCCCAGUAAGUAUCAAGAAGAACCUCGGUGGAGUAGUGAUUAUGAACAGUCAAGACACCUACCGGUCAAAUAAAUAGCAUAAUCAUGGGAAUAAUGGAAAUGAUAUAUAAACAUGUAAAGACUGCAGGAAUGACUACAAUGCAACAAUUCACAAUAAGGGAAAAGGAGAACAAUUAACAACGAGAUUAUAAUAUAUGAUGAUACAAAAUUAUGGCAGAAUCAUAAUCCAAAUCCUUAAGUCACAACACGGCAAGGGGAAAUACAAGUCAACAACUCAUAUCCUACAAUACGGAUCGCAUAGGGUCUUAUUCAACACUUUCCACAAUUUUAUCAAAAUCUCGGACAAACCACAACUCAUAAAACCCAGCAUCUGAAACCUAUCACUUGGCAUCAUGUGCCCCAUCAAUUUCACGGUCAUACUGAAAACAACUUUCUAACUAGGGCUACUCUCACAUAUAUAAUGGAUAAACUAAGGCGCACUCCACCUUUAGCAAAAUCGGAAGGAAUUCACUUCUAAUGGGGAUUAGGGAGGACACUCAUUGGGUACACGUUGUUUUUGUAAUUAUACUACACUUGUGCAUUUUUGUUGCACAGGUAUGUGUGAUUCCGGAGGUCUACUGAACGUAGCUGCACGGAUGAUUCUGGGAGUAGGUGAAUUGCAUCAUUCGAGAUGGCCGCAACUAGAGUAGUCCUUUUCCAGCACUAUAUUUACUUUCCGUCCACUGUAUUUCGGGCGAAUGUUAUAUUUUUAUUCCUCUUAUGAGAUGCUCAUGCACUUGUGACUCUGGGUUCUGGGAUGGUUUGAACUAUUGUAUUAAUUGUUUAACUCUUAAAUAUGAUUUGAAACUAUAUUUUUUCAAAAAUUUCUAAAUAUUGAAGAAAAAUCAUGUAUUUUCAAAAGUGUUGAAACGAGAUUUGAUUAAGUAAACUGG